This 135-nucleotide non-coding RNA is filed under the name Bacillus methanolicus MGA3. Lineage: Bacteria; Bacillati; Bacillota; Bacilli; Caryophanales; Bacillaceae. The record is from RNAcentral.
GUCUGGAUCGUGAGGAUAGUAGACUUUAUAUACGAGAGGAUGUUCUUUUAGAAGAUUGGCAAUUGUUUCGGCAUUUUCGCAGUGACGAUCCAUUCUCACAGGCAAUGUUUUAAGACCUCUUAAUAAUAACCAAGC